Molecule: ribosomal RNA, 931 nt
Filed under: uncultured bacterium
Lineage: Bacteria
Description: bacterial SSU rRNA
Rfam family: Bacterial small subunit ribosomal RNA
Source: RNAcentral
UGCAGUCGAACGAGAAAGCGUUCUUCGGAACGUGAGUACAGUGGCGGACGGGUGAGUAACACGUGGGGAACCUGCCCUCAAGCUGGGAACAACCCGCCUAACGGCGGGCUAAUACCGAAUGUGGUUGUCAGUCCGCAUGGUAUGACAACUAAAGGUGGCCUCUCCUUGGAAGCUACCGCUUGUGGAUGGCCCCGCGCUCAAUUAGCUAGUUGGUAGGGUAACGGCCUACCAAGGCGACGAUUGAUAGCCGACCUGAGAGGGUGAUCGGCCACACUGGGAUUGAGAUAAGGCCCAGUCUCCUACGGGAGCCAGCAGUCUAGAAAUUUGGGCAAUGGGCGAAAGCCUGACCCAGCGACGCCGCGUGGGGGAUGAAGCUUCUCGGAGUGUAAACCCCUGUUAGGUGGGACGAAAGCCCGUAUACGAAUAGUAGGCGGGUUUGACGGUACCACCAGAGGAAGCUCCGGCUAACUCCGUGCCAGCAGCCGCGGUAAUACGGGGGGAGCAAGCGUUGUUCGGAGUUAUUGGGCGUAAAGGGCGUACAGGCGGUGGUGUCAGUCAGAUGUGAAAUCCCCCGGCUCAACCGGGGACCUGCAUUUGAUACUGCAUCACUUGAGUACAGGAGAGGAGAGCGGAAUUUUCGGUGUAGCGGUGGAAUGUGUAGAUAUCGAAAAGAACACCAGUGGCGAAGGCGGCUCUCUGGCCUGAUACUGACGCUGACGCGCGAAAGCUAGGGGAGCAAACAGGAUUAGAUACCCUGGUAGUCCUAGCCGUAAACGUUGGGCACUAGGUGUUGGAGGUAUCGACCCCUUCAGUGCCGAAGCUAACGCAUUAAGUGCCCCGCCUGGGGAGUACGGCCGCAAGGCUGAAACUCAAGGAAUUGACGGGGGCCUGCACAAGCGGUGGAGCAUGUGGUUUAAUUCGAGGCAACGCG